CGCCCACUGCCACGCCUCCAGCCAAUAGUGUCGUGCAGGGGCAGUUUGAGGCCACGCCCCUGGUCACUCCCCACUCGACAGGCGCCCCCUGGCGGGGGUCCCGCGGGACAGACCGGCCGCCAAAAAUCCCAAACCGGGCAAAAAGUUAUCCCGGUUUCCUUCCAAGGGAAACUGCUGGAGCUGAACCGAGCAUGGAGAGGUGUCCGGGGAGACCUUAGAGCCCCUUCCAGUGCUCAGACACACAGGAACAAACGCUGGGAAGUUGGGAAUGGGAUGGAAGAGGGUUUAGAGAAAAGCAGCAAUGUCCCAGUUUGAACUCCAGCCAAGAGGAAGCUCCUCCCAGGGUCCAUCACUGCCACUCCUUCUGCUCACCCAGAACCACAGAAUCAAGGUUGGAAAAGCC
Pseudopipra pipra is the source of this 403-nucleotide long non-coding RNA. RefSeq lists it as uncharacterized. Lineage: Eukaryota; Metazoa; Chordata; Aves; Passeriformes; Pipridae. The transcript has 2 exons. The record is from RefSeq and is a predicted model, not a curated record.